ACGAACGCUGGCGGCGUGCUUAACACAUGCAAGUCGAACGGUAAGGCCUUUCGGGGUACACGAGUGGCGAACGGGUGAGUAACACGUGGGUGAUCUGCCCUGCACUUCGGGAUAAGCUUGGGAAACUGGGUCUAAUACCGGAUAUGACUACGCAUCGCAUGGUGUGUGGUGGAAAGCUUUUGCGGUGUGGGAUGGGCCCGCGGCCUAUCAGCUUGUUGGUGGGGUGAUGGCCUACCAAGGCGACGACGGGUAGCCG
RNAcentral lists this ribosomal RNA (256 nucleotides) under Mycobacterium sp. ISO518_OTU65. Its description in RNAcentral is "partial 16S ribosomal RNA". It matches the Rfam family "Bacterial small subunit ribosomal RNA", at positions 29 to 289 of the family's 1533-position model. Lineage: Bacteria; Bacillati; Actinomycetota; Actinomycetes; Mycobacteriales; Mycobacteriaceae. The record is from RNAcentral.